CCCAAUCAGUGCCAAUGUGUGCCAGGCUGGCGGGGCGACGACUGUUCCAGUGAGUGUGCCCCAGGAAUGUGGGGGCCACAGUGUGACAAGCCCUGCAGCUGCGGCAACAACAGCUCGUGUGAUCCCAAGAGUGGGGUAUGUUCUUGCCCUUCUGGUCUGCAGCCCCCGAACUGCUUUCAGCCCUGUACCCCUGGCUACUAUGGCCCUGCCUGCCAGUUCCGCUGCCAGUGCCAUGGGGCACCCUGCGAUCCCCAGACUGGAGCCUGCUUCUGCCCCGCAGAGAGAACUGGGCCCAGCUGUGACGUGUCCUGUUCCCAGGGCACUUCUGGCUUCUUCUGCCCCAGCACCCAUCCUUGCCAAAAUGGAGGUGUCUUCCAAACCCCACAGGGCUCCUGCAGCUGCCCCCCUGGCUGGAUGGGCACCAUCUGCUCCCUGCCCUGCCCAGAGGGCUUUCAUGGACCCAACUGCUCCCAGGAAUGUCGCUGCCACAACGGCGGCCUCUGUGACCGAUUCACUGGGCAGUGCCGCUGCGCUCCGGGUUACACUGGGGAUCGGUGAGUGGCGUGGGGCGGGCGGGAGACGGGAGGGAGGAGGUGGGGCGCCGCCAGGCUCACUCAGCUAGGUGCCCAGGUGCCGGGAGGAGUGCCCGGUGGGCCGCUUUGGGCAGGACUGUGCUGAGACGUGCGACUGCGCCCCGGACGCCCGUUGCUUCCCGGCCAACGGCGCAUGUCUGUGCGAACACGGCUUCACUGGGGACCGCUGCACGGAUCGCCUCUGCCCCGACGGCUUCUACGGUCUCAGCUGCCAGGCCCCCUGCACCUGCGACCGGGAGCACAGCCUCAGCUGCCACCCGAUGAACGGGGAGUGCUCCUGCCUGCCGGGCUGGGCGGGCCUCCACUGCAACGAGAGCUGCCCGCAGGACACGCACGGGCCAGGGUGCCAGGAGCACUGUCUCUGCCUGCACGGUGGCGUCUGCCAGGCUACCAGCGGCCUCUGUCAGUGCGCGCCGGGUUACACGGGCCCUCACUGUGCUAGUCUUUGUCCUCCCGACACCUACGGUGUCAACUGUUCUGCACGCUGCUCAUGUGAAAAUGCCAUCGCCUGCUCACCCAUCGACGGCGAGUGCGUCUGCAAGGAAGGUUGGCAGCGUGGUAACUGCUCUGUGCCCUGCCCACCCGGAACCUGGGGCUUCGGUUGCAAUGCCAGCUGCCAGUGUGCCCAUGAGGCAGUCUGCAGCCCCCAAACUGGAGCCUGUACCUGCACCCCUGGGUGGCAUGGGGCCCACUGCCAGCUGCCCUGUCCGAAGGGGCAGUUUGGAGAAGGUUGUGCCAGUCGCUGUGACUGUGACCACUCUGAUGGCUGUGACCCUGUUCAUGGACGCUGUCAGUGCCAGGCUGGCUGGAUGGGUGCCCGCUGCCACCUGUCCUGCCCUGAGGGCUUAUGGGGAGUCAACUGUAGCAACACCUGCACCUGCAAGAAUGGGGGCACCUGUCUCCCUGAGAGUGGCAACUGCGUGUGUGCACCCGGAUUCCGAGGCCCCUCCUGCCAGAGAUCCUGUCAGCCUGGCCGCUAUGGCAAACGCUGUGUGCCCUGCAAGUGCGCUAACCACUCCUUCUGCCACCCCUCGAACGGGACCUGCUACUGCCUGGCUGGCUGGACAGGCCCCGACUGCUCCCAGCCAUGCCCUCCAGGACACUGGGGAGAAAACUGUGCCCAGACCUGCCAAUGUCACCAUGGUGGGACCUGCCAUCCCCAGGAUGGGAGCUGUAUCUGCCCCCUAGGCUGGACUGGACACCACUGCUUAGAAGGCUGCCCUCUGGGGACAUUUGGUGCUAACUGCUCCCAGCCAUGCCAGUGUGGUCCUGGAGAAAAGUGCCACCCAGAGACUGGGGCCUGUGUAUGUCCCCCAGGGCACAGUGGUGCACCUUGCAGGAUUGGAAUCCAGGAGCCCUUUACUGUGAUGCCGACCACUCCAGUAGCGUAUAACUCGCUGGGUGCAGUGAUUGGCAUUGCAGUGCUGGGGUCCCUUGUGGUAGCCCUGGUGGCACUGUUCAUUGGCUAUCGGCACUGGCAAAAAGGCAAGGAGCACCACCACCUGGCUGUGGCUUACAGCAGCGGGCGCCUGGACGGCUCCGAGUAUGUCAUGCCAGAUGUCCCUCCGAGCUACAGUCACUACUACUCCAACCCCAGCUACCACACCCUGUCGCAGUGCUCCCCAAACCCCCCACCCCCUAACAAGGUUCCAGGCCCGCUCUUUGCCAGCCUGCAGACCCCUGAGCGGCCAGGUGGGGCCCAAGGGCAUGAUAACCACACCACCCUGCCUGCUGACUGGAAGCACCGCCGGGAGCCCCCUCCAGGGCCUCUGGACAGGGGGAACAGCCGCCUGGACCGAAGCUACAGCUAUAGCUACAGCAAUGGCCCAGGCCCAUUCUACAAUAAAGGGCUCAUCUCUGAAGAGGAGCUCGGGGCCAGUGUGGCUUCCCUGAGCAGUGAGAACCCAUAUGCCACCAUCCGGGACCUGCCCAGCUUGCCAGGGGGCCCCCGGGAGAGCAGCUACAUGGAGAUGAAAGGCCCUUCCUCAGGAUCUCCCCCCAGGCAGCCUCCUCAGUUCUGGGACAGCCAGAGGCAGCGGCAACCCCAGCCACAGAGAGACAGUGGCACCUACGAGCAGCCCAGCCCCCUGAUCCAUGACCGAGACUCUGUGGGCUCCCAGCCCCCUCUGCCUCCGGGCCUACCCCCCGGCCACUAUGACUCACCCAAGAACAGCCACAUCCCUGGACAUUAUGACUUGCCUCCAGUACGGCAUCCCCCAUCACCUCCACUUCGACGCCAGGACCGUUGAGGAGCCAGGAUGGUGUGGCAGAGGCCAGCACACCUGGCUGUUGCUGCUCAAGGCUGGGGACAGAGCCUAGUGUACCCCUGCCAGGAGCAGGGAGUGGACCGGCAGGCCGUGAACAUGAACAACACUUAACAGAGCAAGUGAUGGGAGCCUCGUUCCUGGGUUCUACCAUGGGAGAGGCUGAUCAGCAGGAUGCCUGGCUCCCUUUCCCAACCCACUGCUCCCAAGGCCUCCAGGGCCCUGUGUACAUAAACUGGUGGGUUGGAAGUUGCUGGGUAACUCUGAUUUCAGACAUGCGUGUGGGGUACCUUUUCUGUGCACGCUCGGCCUGGGCUCUGUGCGUGUGUGUGUUUCUGUGAUUUUAGAAGGGUACCAGGCACAGGUUCUGUCCUAGGGCACUUACCAUUUAGUAGGGAGAUGGACCCAACCCAAUUAACUCUAGCAAUAGCCUCCUAACUGGCCUCCUCCAUUGAUUCAGUGAACCUUCCAAUGCAUGGCUCAUAAUUUCAAAAUACAGGCUGGUUAGUUACUCCCUACCUGAAAGCCUUCAUAGGUGCCUCUUUGCUCUUCUGCCAGUAUCAAAACUUUUGAAGGCCUUAAAGGCCCUGCUUUGCCUGGCCCAUCUGUCUCUCCAGCCUCACCUUGAACUGUGUUCCUGUCACUGCACGCCAGUCACACCGGCCUCUAGGUCCUCCUGUAGGCCACUCUUCUUUCUGGCACAGGGACCUGCACACCUGGAGUGCCCUUCCUCCCCCACUUGCCUGUUCACCCCUGCUUUUCCUUUACACCUCCUCCUCAGGGAAGCGCCCACCCUCCGUACGUCUUUCACAGCCCUGAUUGCAGCUGUGUUCACUCACCAGGUACCUGCAGAAGGCCUACAGGGUGCCAGGCACUUCUUUAAUGUGUUCUUUCUUUAUGUGAUUAUUUGAUUAAUCUCUGCCUCCCCCACUAGACUGUAAGCUCCCUGAAGGCAAGAAUCCUGUGCUUAUGCUCAAUAUUAGCUCUCCCUUGGCACAGAGUAGGCACUCAACAAAUGCUCCCCAAAAGGCUGAGUGGCUGACUGAAUUAAGUACCAGUGACAUGCAGUAACUGCUAAGAUAGAUGAGCCAUCUGUAUGCUCUGACAGUUACAGACUGAAUAAGUUGGAGACUUCCCUAAAGGGUGGCAUUUCCCCAGGGUAACAACGCAGAGCUCAGGUGUGGGAAGGUGCCAGGGGCAGGGGUGCAGAGGGGCUGAGGCUGAGGGGGGUGCAGAGGCUGGAGACAGGAUAACAGGAGAGAUUAUACAGGCAUGCCUUGAUUUAUUGCACUUCACAGGUAGCAGAAUUUUUAAAGAAAUUGAAGGUUUUGGGACAUAUAUGUGACAGCAAUAGGUUAAGAAAAGCAAAGCAGAGAAAUUGAAGAUGUGUGUCAACACUGCUUUAAGCAAAUCUGUUGGCACCAUUUUUCCAAUAGCAUGUGCUCAUUUUGGGUCUCUACAUCGCAUUUUGGUAAUUGCUUGCAAUAUUUCAAGCAUUUUCAUUGUUAUUAUAUGUGUUAUAGUGAUCUGUGAUCAGUGAUCUUUGAUAUAUUAUUGUAAUUGUUUCGGGGCGCCAUGAACCGCACCCAUAUAACACGGUAAACUUAAUCAGC
RNAcentral lists this small RNA (4470 nucleotides) under Pan troglodytes (chimpanzee). Its description in RNAcentral is "retained intron". The record is from RNAcentral. Lineage: Eukaryota; Metazoa; Chordata; Mammalia; Primates; Hominidae.